AGGGUGCGAGCGUUAAUCGGAUUUACUGGGCGUAAAGCGUGCGUAGGCGGCUUAUUAAGUCGGAUGUGAAAUCCCCGAGCUUAACUUGGGAAUUGCAUUCGAUACUGGUGAGCUAGAGUAUGGGAGAGGAUGGUAGAAUUCCAGGUGUAGCGGUGAAAUGCGUAGAGAUCUGGAGGAAUACCGAUGGCGAAGGCAGCCAUCUGGCCUAAUACUGACGCUGAGGUACGAAAGCAUGGGGAGCAAACAGGAUUAGAUACCCUGGUAGUCCAUGCCGUAAACGAUGUCUACUAGCCGUUGGGGCCUUUGAGGCUUUAGUGGCGCAGCUAACGCGAUAAGUAGACCGCCUGGGGAGUACGGUCGCAAGACUAAAACUCAAAUGAAUUGACGGGGGCCCGCACAAGCGGUGGAGCAUGUGGUUUAAUUCGAUGCAACGCGAAGAACCUUACCUGGCCUUGACAUACUAGAAACUUUCCAGAGAUGGAUUGGUGCCUUCGGGAAUCUAGAUACAGGUGCUGCAUGGCUGUCGUCAGCUCGUGUCGUGAGAUGUUGGGUUAAGUCCCGCAACGAGCGCAACCCUUUUCCUUACUUGCCAGCAUUUCGGAUGGGA
This 607-nucleotide ribosomal RNA is filed under the name Escherichia coli. RNAcentral describes it as "bacterial SSU rRNA". It matches the Rfam family "Bacterial small subunit ribosomal RNA", at positions 529 to 1136 of the family's 1533-position model. The record is from RNAcentral. Lineage: Bacteria; Pseudomonadati; Pseudomonadota; Gammaproteobacteria; Enterobacterales; Enterobacteriaceae.